GGCUCCCUGGAGAAAUGUGACCUGCAGUCAAUGCAGACUGCAGAGGAGCCGAGCAGGAGGAGGAACACAGAUCCAGGCGGCAACGGCUGAGGGACAGUGCACCACCACCGCCGCCGCCGCUGAGGAUCAGCACCCAGGAACAGUGCACAGCAGCGCAAGGGUCCGGGAGAGCAGCCGCCAACCGAGCAAGACGACGCCUGCCUGACUGGCCCCGCUUUCUGCUGGCUAUGGAGAGGAGCCAGGCCGCCAUUUCUUGGAACAGUCAUCCGGAAAGGAUUGGUCAUCGACUAGGAGACAAAAGACCCACUGCAUGGCAAGCAGCACCGCGCUCCAGACAGUCGGCACCUUGGUUACCCUGCGCUUCUGCAGUGACGACCGGAAACGGAGCGGAUGACUGUACUGACGAGCGGACGCGAUGCACUGGCAGGCUUCUCACCUGUAUAUAAGGCAUCUUCCGGAUCAUGUGAUCUCCUACAUGAACAAUGAUUACCGACUGAAGACGCCGUCUGACCAAGAAGAAUACAUUUCUUCAGAGGUUCCCCAUUAUGAGAAACCACCAAAUAGAUAAUGGCCGGGAUGUUAUGGGAGCCGAUGAUGCCACCCGGAGAGAAGUAUCACACAGCAUCGGACAUUACAAAUGUGCAGCUUUUUACCGGAACUCAGACAUUGUAAGGGCGUGUGUAAAUUUCUCAUCUUCAGCGCCUCAGAUCUGAGGUCACGGUAUUUAGACUAGAAAGCGUCCAAUAUUUACAGACCAACCGGAAUGCGUCUUAAAUGUAUGUGUGUCAUUUUCUGACCUACCGGAAUUCAUUUUUCAGUAUAGGAGGUCCACAGUGUGAGAGAAACUUACCUAUUGGUCCCCAAAAGUCACAUGACAUCACGCCCUACUGUAUAUUAACCCCACAACCUCCAUUUUGUCCUUUGAAAGGUUGGAUAGGGAGGAGAAAAAAGAAAGACUCUGUGUUGGGGCACACUUGGAAAUUUAUGAAUUUAUUAAAACUUAACUUUUAAUAUUAAUAUCACAUAAAAAAGAAGAAGAUAGUUUGAUACAAAAAAAUGUUCAAGUACACAGAGUAUACAUAUGAUAAUGACAGUCUACACAGAAAUAUUGAAAAGUAUAAAGUGUAACAACAAAGUAAAUGGUAGAUUAUUAAUGAUUCAAAAAUUAAUUAGCAGAAAUCGUUAACAAAAAUCAGGAUAAACCUGAUGGAAAAUUAAGAGCACCUAUGGUGAAAAAUUUGUAAAGAAAAAAACAAUUAUAUGCCUGAAUAAGUCAAGAUAAAUAAUAAAAGGUGAGAUCACUGUGGUAAUGAUUAUAGGUUGUUAGUGAUCUAUUAACCUAUGUGAUCUAGAAAGAAGGCAUGAGAAAAGGUAUAAUAAUAAUAUAAAUCAUAAUUGGAAUACCAAUUAGCUGAUGGUGGUCCCCUUGGUGGAAGCUAUGUUUGCUACACAAAAGAUCCUAAUGUAAGAAGACGUUUGUACAAAUUUUGAAAACAAACGACAUA
Long non-coding RNA from Pseudophryne corroboree (corroboree frog), 1505 nucleotides. RefSeq lists it as uncharacterized. NCBI's taxonomy places the organism in Eukaryota, Metazoa, Chordata, Amphibia, Anura, Myobatrachidae. The record is from RefSeq and is a predicted model, not a curated record. The transcript is spliced from 5 exons.